UUGUUUCCUAUUUUUUAAAUUACUAAUAUUAAUAGGCCUGGAAAAACAAUCUGAUUAUACAAAUGAUAAAAUUAUGAUUUUUAAUAGUUCAACAAAACUAAAACCUAGUAUAUAAAUAGAAUUGUUUUUUUAAAAAACAACCUCAUAUCGAGGGGAGACAAAUUAGAAGAUAUCAAGGAAAGAAAGAUGAGUAGACACGAGAGAGAAGCAGGCAGCCCUAACCUUGGUCUCACAGUUAUACUGGGGUUGUGGGGAGCCAUGGAAAUGGAGUGUGCAGAAAACUGACCUGCGGGAGGGAGGAGGCACCUCACCCAGCUCAGAGUGCAGCCUCCAGAAACGCAGUAUGAAGCAAUUCUGUAGUGAGUUGGGAACAAUAAAAGCAGACACCACUUAAAGAAAGCUUGUAUUUGAAGAUGACCCAGGAGGGAAAGCACCCUGUGUGGCCUGCACCUGUGGUAGUCAGUGGCGGCUUCCCUGUCUGUCUUCCCAGCAGGCCAGAGCUCACCUCCCAUCAUGCACCGGGUGAUGACUGCUGCCUUUCCUCAUCAAUCAACCAUAGAACUAGUCUACCAGCGUGGGAAAAUCCCUUUUCUCUCAGUUUCAGCAGUCAAGGUCUAAAGAAUGAACUGGGGAGCUGGCGUACGUGUUUGCCGAAGAGUGUUGGCUUAGCAUGUACAAUACACUUGGAUCAACACCAAACACAGGCAGAAAUGACUGAACUAGCUGUCCUCUUUUCCAGCCCAAAAAUGCACAGUGAAACGGGUAAUCAUGGCAUCUGUGGAUUUCUUUGGUCAGUGCUGAUGGUUUAACAUGCA
Molecule: long non-coding RNA, 815 nt
Filed under: Mus spicilegus (steppe mouse)
Lineage: Eukaryota; Metazoa; Chordata; Mammalia; Rodentia; Muridae
Description: lncRNA (ENSMSIG00000012110.1)
Source: RNAcentral